RNAcentral lists this unclassified non-coding RNA (146 nucleotides) under uncultured Pleosporales. RNAcentral's name for it is "sequence contains ITS2". The record is from RNAcentral. Lineage: Eukaryota; Fungi; Ascomycota; Dothideomycetes; Pleosporales.
AAAUCUUCAAGCUUUGCUUGGUGUUGGGCAUUGUUCGCCUUGCGAACUUGCCUUGAAUAAAUUGGCAGCCAGCCAUUGGGUGUUGGAGCGCAGCACAUUUUGCGUUCUUGGCCAUAAUAGCCGGCGUCCAGAAAGCUUAUAUCAAC